Molecule: long non-coding RNA, 361 nt
Filed under: Homo sapiens (human)
Lineage: Eukaryota; Metazoa; Chordata; Mammalia; Primates; Hominidae
Description: HSALNT0056342
Source: RNAcentral
CCAAAGGAACCAGAGCAGUUGAGAAAACUGUUUAUUGGUGGUCUGAGCUUUGAAACUACAGAUGAUAGUUUACGAGAACAUUUUGAGAAAUGGGGCACACUCACAGAUUGUGUGGAUUCUGUAAAGCCUGGUGCCCAUCUAACAGUGAAGAAAAUUUUUGUUGGUGGUAUUAAAGAAGAUACAGAAGAAUAUAAUUUGAGAGACUACUUUGAAAAGUAUGGCAAGAUUGAAACCAUAGAAGUUAUGGAAGACAGGCAGAGUGGAAAAAAGAGAGGAUUUGCUUUUGUAACUUUUGAUGAUCAUGAUACAGUUGAUAAAAUUGUUGUUCAGAAAUACCACACUAUUAAUGGGCAUAAUUGUG